Molecule: unclassified non-coding RNA, 737 nt
Filed under: Platycerus sugitai
Lineage: Eukaryota; Metazoa; Arthropoda; Insecta; Coleoptera; Lucanidae
Description: partial contains 5.8S rRNA, ITS2 and 28S rRNA
Rfam family: 5.8S ribosomal RNA (bases 1-100)
Source: RNAcentral
CGCGUCAAACUGUGAACUGCAGGACACAUGAACAUCGACAUUUCGAACGCACAUUGCGGUCCUCGGAUACUGUUCCCGGACCACUCCUGGCUGAGGGUCGUUUCCUAAUCCCAGAAUGCCCGGUCCGUCGGCGGUUCGCCGCCUCGUCGGACGUCGGGGCUCGAAUGGGAACUCGUCCUCCGUCCGCUCGCGCGGAUGGUGGUCGUUUCCCGAAAACAGACGGGCACCGCUCCGCCCAGUGCGGUCGGUGUCCUCACACGCAUCCGGUCGCCGUCGACCCACAGCGACGGACGGCGGCGGCGGGCGUGCGACGACGGUGGUCGUGUCCCAGACGGUUCCGGUCGUCUUCGACGUCGACGUCGCGUCGCGCCCGCGGGGCCGUCGUCCGGUCGGCGAGUGCCGGUCGGGCACCACGGAGAGAGAGAGGCCGCGCGCGUCUCCCUAGCGCGUCGGUCCGAGUUCCGUCGCCCGGUACGAAACUUCGAACGAGGGGGAGGUGACGUCGUCGCAGCGCGGCGUCUCGAGUACCCCAGCGUGUUUCGGACGGGCGUGCGUCGAGUCGGAUCCUCGCGGUGUCGCGCUCCGCCGAGGAGCGCGUGCCGCGCAGAGCGGGCGUUCGCGUCCGAUCGCGCGGGAGACGAGGAUUUCUCUCCGCCCGUUGAGGCGGGGGACCGGAGACGGUCCCCCGCGGUUGAGCUCACGACCUCAGAGCAGGAGAGACCACCCGCUGAAUUUUA